Long non-coding RNA from Mus musculus (house mouse), 414 nucleotides. RefSeq annotates it as predicted gene, 46509. Lineage: Eukaryota; Metazoa; Chordata; Mammalia; Rodentia; Muridae. The record is from RefSeq and is a predicted model, not a curated record. The transcript is spliced from 2 exons.
GAGCUCUAAGGGGAAGAAUUUGAUGGAAAUCCGGCUGUGGGUCUCUGCAUCUGUUCCCAUCUGCUGCCAGAGGAAGCCUUUCUGAUGAUUUCUAAGUCCAUGUGUUACAUAUUCUCUGGUUCUUGUGGGGCAGUGGACUGUGAGAGGAAGCCUGGUAAGGCUGAGCUGGGUUGGAAGCCCCGGGACCCAAAGGCACAGUAGGAGCUUCAUCUGCUCCCUAUACCAGGGCCCUGUCAUGUAGUCAAAGCCUCCUAUAGAGAGAGUUGUGACCAUCAGUCGUGUGGGAACAGCGCCCCCAAGCCCCUCCACAUGUAGAUAAGGUAUCCCUAGGAAGCACCUGCUGUCAGACCCCCAACUCACCCUAAAACUGUAUAUAAGAUCCUAUCCAGAAGGAAUAAAGGUGUGUGAGAAUUA